AUUGAACGCUGGCGGCAGGCCUAACACAUGCAAGUCGAACGGUAACAGGAAACAGCUUGCUGUUUCGCUGACGAGUGGCGGACGGGUGAGUAAUGUCUGGGAAACUGCCUGAUGGAGGGGGAUAACUACUGGAAACGGUAGCUAAUACCGCAUAACGUCGCAAGACCAAAGAGGGGGACCCUCGGGCCUCUUGCCAUCGGAUGUGCCCAGAUGGGAUUAGCUUGUUGGUGGGGUAACGGCUCACCAAGGCGACGAUCCCUAGCUGGUCUGAGAGGAUGACCAGCCACAAUGGAACUGAGACACGGUCCAGACUCCUACGGGAGGCAGCAGUGGGGAAUAUUGCACAAUGGGCGCAAGCCUGAUGCAGCCAUGCCGCGUGUAUGAAGAAGGCCUUCGGGUUGUAAAGUACUUUCAGCGGGGAGGAAGGGAGUAAAGUUAAUACCUUUGCUCAUUGACGUUACCCGCAGAAGAAGCACCGGCUAACUCCGUG
RNAcentral lists this ribosomal RNA (490 nucleotides) under uncultured bacterium. RNAcentral describes it as "partial 16S ribosomal RNA". It matches the Rfam family "Bacterial small subunit ribosomal RNA", at positions 30 to 507 of the family's 1533-position model. The record is from RNAcentral.